AACAGUAACUCAUACGUGUCGUGAACCGAAAUGUCGGAGAAAGAAAGACGAAGAAGCAAAGAAUUUAACGUUUUAUUUUGUAUUUUUGUUCCAUUUUUUCAUAGACGUUUUCCAUUUAUAUUUUUUUUUCUGCUCUGUAAAGAAUUAAAGUUUCUUCUUUAUGAAUUCAUAAUUUUGUAUGAAUCAUAGCUUUCUCUGCACAUUGAAAAGUUUUCUCCUUUCGAUUCAUUCUUUACACACAAAAAAAAAAAUCACCUUUUUUGUUUGUUUGUUAGGUUUAAUUUGAUUUGAUCUCUUUUAGGUUUGUUGUUUGGGGGGUUCUCUACUGUAGUAUUAGAUCGAGGGUUUUAGAGUGAAAAAGAAUGGGAUCUUCUUCAGGGCAAAGUGGUGGAUAUGAUCUAUCUUUCAAGAUCCUGUUGAUUGGAGAUUCUGGUGUUGGUAAAAGUAGCUUGCUUCUCAGCUUCAUUUCCAGCUCUGUCGAAGAUCUUGCUCCCACCAUUGGUUAUUUUCUCUCCCGGAACAAAAUUUAACUGAGUUUGUCUCUCAACAUUUGUUUUUGCAUUGGAAGACUGGCGCUUAUAGUUUGCGUCUUUGUGAAUCACUGUGAAUCACUGUCCCACCAGUCUCUCUAAGUGUGUGUCCACAAACUCUCACGCAACUUAGGCCAUAUUUAUCGGUGGAUCAGUUAGGGUACGCAACUUAGGCCAUAUUUAUCGGUGGAUCAGUUAGGGUGAUCUUGGGUCUUUUAAAAUUGAAAUUAAUUGAAUAGUACCCAUAAGAUCAGCCCAAUUGAUUUUGAAUAAGAUCAGUUCUUCAUCUGAUCUAAGGGUCACGUGUCACUCUCGGAAAAAAAACUUUCGUUUUAUUUUUCUUUUCUUUCGAACAUAAUUUUCUUCUUCUUCUCUCGCGAAAAAGAAAAGCGAAACGGCGAGAGAUUUUUUUUCCCUCACCGUCGUCUCCUCUGUCCGGCCAUUGAAACACCGAGGCGACCGAUCUCCUCGUCUCCUCGUCUCCUCGUUUUCUCGUGUCCACCGAUUCUCGUCGUCUCCUCUCUCUCCUCUGUCUCGCGAAAUCUAGAGAUCUCCUCUAUGUCGCCAAGCUCAAGAUCUCGUCGUCUUCUCUGUCUCCUCUGUCUCGUCGGCUAGGUGAGGUUAAGCAGGGCGAUUUAAAUCGGACCACCAUCAACAACAUUCCUUACUCGAAAGUAAAAGGCAUGGACUCUUUAUACGACUACGGUAUAAACAGCCCAUUAGACGGUAGUAGCGAUUCAGAAGAGGAGGUUGAGAUCUCUUACUAUCCUCUGGAACCAGCUCCUGCGAUUGGAUUCACAAGUCUAUCGAGCCGUGAGACUCAACUGAACCAGCUCAACGACCAAGUAAUCCAGCUCAACGACCAAAUGAUCCAGCUCAAGGUACUUGUGAUCCAGCUCAAGGACCAAGUGAUCCAGCUCAAGGACCAAGUGAUCCAGCUCAAGGACGAAGUCAUCCAGCUCAAGGACGAAGUGAUCCAGCUCAAGUAAAUUUGUCUCAUUUUCUGUUGUUGUUGUUUGCUUCCGAAAGGUGAACCCGUG
Camelina sativa (false flax) is the source of this 1570-nucleotide non-coding RNA. The record is from RefSeq and is a predicted model, not a curated record. NCBI's taxonomy places the organism in Eukaryota, Viridiplantae, Streptophyta, Magnoliopsida, Brassicales, Brassicaceae.